UACGUAGGGUGCGAGCGUUAAUCGGAAUUACUGGGCGUAAAGCGUGCGCAGGCGGCUAGGUGUGUCAGAUGUGAAAGCCCCGGGCUUAACCUGGGAAUGGCAUUGGAAACUGGCUCGCUGGAGUGUGGCAGAGGGGGGUGGAAUUCCGCGUGUAGCAGUGAAAUGCGUAGAGAUGCGGAGGAACACCGAUGGCGAAGGCAGCCCCCUGGGCUAACACUGACGCUCAUGCACGAAAGCGUGGGGAGCAAACAGG
This 253-nucleotide ribosomal RNA is filed under the name uncultured bacterium. RNAcentral describes it as "partial 16S ribosomal RNA". It matches the Rfam family "Bacterial small subunit ribosomal RNA", at positions 524 to 776 of the family's 1533-position model. The record is from RNAcentral.